AAUUAUUUGGCUGAAUAUAAGCGGGUAUCUUGAAAAUACUUUACACAGGUGUAAAUCCUGUAAUAAUUU
This 69-nucleotide transfer RNA is filed under the name Spinactaletes boneti. RNAcentral's name for it is "tRNA-Ser". It matches the Rfam family "tRNA". Rfam says of the family: Transfer RNA (tRNA) molecules are approximately 80 nucleotides in length. Their secondary structure includes four short double-helical elements and three loops (D, anti-codon, and T loops). Lineage: Eukaryota; Metazoa; Arthropoda; Collembola; Entomobryomorpha; Actaletidae. The record is from RNAcentral.